UGCAUGUUUCACUUCAUUCCACAGUUGUG
This 29-nucleotide non-coding RNA is filed under the name Rattus norvegicus (Norway rat). The record is from RNAcentral. Lineage: Eukaryota; Metazoa; Chordata; Mammalia; Rodentia; Muridae.